GGAAAGGCGCGCGAUACAGGGUGACAGCCCCGUACACAAAAAUGCACAUGCUGUGAGCUCGAUGAGUAGGGCGGGACACGUGGUAUCCUGUCUGAAUAUGGGGGGACCAUCCUCCAAGGCUAAAUACUCCUGACUGACCGAUAGUGAACCAGUACCGUGAGGGAAAGGCGAAAAGAACCCCGGCGAGGGGAGUGAAAAAGAACCUGAAACCGUGUACGUACAAGCAGUGGGAGCACGCUUAGGCGUGUGACUGCGUACCUUUUGUAUAAUGGGUCAGCGACUUAUAUUCUGUAGCAAGGUUAACCGAAUAGGGGAGCCGAAGGGAAACCGAGUCUUAACUGGGCGUUAAGUUGCAGGGUAUAGACCCGAAACCCGGUGAUCUAGCCAUGGGCAGGUUGAAGGUUGGGUAACACUAACUGGAGGACCGAACCGACUAAUGUUGAAAAAUUAGCGGAUGACUUGUGGCUGGGGGUGAAAGGCCAAUCAAACCGGGAGAUAGCUGGUUCUCCCCGAAAGCUAUUUAGGUAGCGCCUCGUGAAUUCAUCUCCGGGGGUAGAGCACUGUUUCGGCAAGGGGGUCAUCCCGACUUACCAACCCGAUGCAAACUGCGAAUACCGGAGAAUGUUAUCACGGGAGACACACGGCGGGUGCUAACGUCCGUCGUGAAGAGGGAAACAACCCAGACCGCCAGCUAAGGUCCCAAAGUCAUGGUUAAGUGGGAAACGAUGUGGGAAGGCCCAGACAGCCAGGAUGUUGGCUUAGAAGCAGCCAUCAUUUAAAGAAAGCGUAAUAGCUCACUGGUCGAGUCGGCCUGCGCGGAAGAUGUAACGGGGCUAAACCAUGCACCGAAGCUGCGGCAGCGACGCUUAUGCGUUGUUGGGUAGGGGAGCGUUCUGUAAGCCUGUGAAGGUGUGCUGUGAGGCAUGCUGGAGGUAUCAGAAGUGCGAAUGCUGACAUAAGUAACGAUAAAGCGGGUGAAAAGCCCGCUCGCCGGAAGACCAAGGGUUCCUGUCCAACGUUAAUCGGGGCAGGGUGAGUCGACCCCUAAGGCGAGGCCGAAAGGCGUAGUCGAUGGGAAACAGGUUAAUAUUCCUGUACUUGGUGUUACUGCGAAGGGGGGACGGAGAAGGCUAUGUUGGCCGGGCGACGGUUGUCCCGGUUUAAGCGUGUAGGCUGGUUUUCCAGGCAAAUCCGGAAAAUCAAGGCUGAGGC
This 1212-nucleotide ribosomal RNA is filed under the name Escherichia coli. RNAcentral's name for it is "partial 23S ribosomal RNA". It matches the Rfam family "Bacterial large subunit ribosomal RNA", at positions 344 to 1562 of the family's 2925-position model. The record is from RNAcentral. Lineage: Bacteria; Pseudomonadati; Pseudomonadota; Gammaproteobacteria; Enterobacterales; Enterobacteriaceae.